AGAUGUAGCUUCAGUAAUAGUGA
This 23-nucleotide non-coding RNA is filed under the name Rattus norvegicus (Norway rat). The record is from RNAcentral. Lineage: Eukaryota; Metazoa; Chordata; Mammalia; Rodentia; Muridae.